RNAcentral lists this small RNA (60 nucleotides) under Arabidopsis thaliana (thale cress). RNAcentral's name for it is "ATSL018200". The record is from RNAcentral. Lineage: Eukaryota; Viridiplantae; Streptophyta; Magnoliopsida; Brassicales; Brassicaceae.
UGUGAAGAGUCUUCGAUCGUUGCUCAGGUCUCGUUGUCGUCGUCGUCAUCUCACCGGGAA